UUGUGCUAGGCGGGGAGCUAGCGGUGCCCUUGACCCGAAAACCGCUUUAUGCGGGGCUGAACUCCCCCUCGAGGAUUCAUUUCCUGAAAAUUGGAACCGGUCGAUCGGUCGCCGCGCAACGGGCACGCACGAACCUCGUCAGAUCCGGAAGGAAGCAGCGAUAAGUGAUGGUGUCUGUGUCGUGGAUUGAUUUCGGUCAUGGCUUUGGGACCGAUACAUAAGGAAGCAUUCGACAGGGGGUGCACAA
This 247-nucleotide signal recognition particle RNA is filed under the name Deltaproteobacteria bacterium. RNAcentral's name for it is "signal recognition particle sRNA large type". It matches the Rfam family "Bacterial large signal recognition particle RNA". Rfam says of the family: The signal recognition particle (SRP) is a universally conserved ribonucleoprotein involved in the co-translational targeting of proteins to membranes. The record is from RNAcentral. Lineage: Bacteria; Pseudomonadati; Myxococcota; Myxococcia.